Molecule: ribosomal RNA, 119 nt
Filed under: Salmo salar (Atlantic salmon)
Lineage: Eukaryota; Metazoa; Chordata; Actinopteri; Salmoniformes; Salmonidae
Source: RNAcentral
GCUUACGGCCAUACCAGCCUGGGUACGCCCGAUCUCGUCUGAUCUCGGAAGCUAAGCCGGGUCGGGCCUGGUUAGUACUUGGAUGGGAGACCGCCUGGGAAUACCAGCUGCUGUAAGCA